UACGGGGGGGGCAAGCGUUGUUCGGAAUUACUGGGCGUAAAGGGUUUGUAGGUGGCCCGCUAAGUCACACGUGAAAUCCCUCAGCUUAACUGGGGAACUGCGUGUGAGACUGGCAGGCUCGAGGGCAGGAGAGGAACGCGGAAUUCCAGGUGUAGCGGUGAAAUGCGUAGAUAUCUGGAGGAACACCGGUGGCGAAGGCGGCGUUCUGGACUGUCUCUGACACCGAAGAACGAAAGCCAGGGGAGCAAACGGG
Molecule: ribosomal RNA, 253 nt
Filed under: uncultured bacterium
Lineage: Bacteria
Description: partial 16S ribosomal RNA
Rfam family: Bacterial small subunit ribosomal RNA
Source: RNAcentral